CUGCAAAUUUUGCAGUUGUAACUGUGUAUGUCAUAACUGAUAUCUCUUUUAUUCAAGUGGCACUUUUUAAUGUGUUCCUUCAAAAGAAUGCCAAAAGGUACCAAUGAAGAGUGGUCGCGUCUAGAGUGGCUUACCAUCAAAAAUGGUAAUGUUGUGAAGUAGGGACAAAUUUGACACUUUUGACCAAUGCUAUUGGACUUCACGUUGGAAAAUUUUUCAGAGUAGACUAAUAGUGACAUCUGAAAACCUGCAUUAGUAUUAUUUAUUAAAAUAAACAUUCUUUCUCA
This is a long non-coding RNA of Zophobas morio, 287 nucleotides long. RefSeq lists it as uncharacterized. NCBI's taxonomy places the organism in Eukaryota, Metazoa, Arthropoda, Insecta, Coleoptera, Tenebrionidae. The record is from RefSeq and is a predicted model, not a curated record. The transcript is spliced from 2 exons.